RNAcentral lists this ribosomal RNA (347 nucleotides) under uncultured bacterium. Its description in RNAcentral is "bacterial SSU rRNA". It matches the Rfam family "Bacterial small subunit ribosomal RNA", at positions 8 to 334 of the family's 1533-position model. The record is from RNAcentral.
AGAGUUCGAUUAUGGCUCAGGAUGAACGCUGGCGGCGUGCUUAACACAUGCAAGUCGAACGAAGCACUUUAAGAAGAAGUUUUCGGACGGAUUCUUUAAGCGACUGAGUGGCGGACGGGUGAGUAACGCGUGGGCAACCUGCCCUGUACAGGGGGAUAACAGUCAGAAAUGACUGCUAAUACCGCAUAAGACCACAGUGCUGCAUGGCACAGUGGUAAAAACUCCGGUGGUACAGGAUGGGCCCGCGUCUGAUUAGCUGGUUGGUGAGGUAACGGCUCUACCAAGGCAACGAUCAGUAGCCGGCUUGAGAGAGUGGACGGCCACAUUGGGACUGAGACACGGCCCAA